UUAGAUUUGUUGGAUUCCUGACAGGAAAACUACUUUACCUUAUGAUAUACCAUCGCUCCUCUUAACAUGAAGGUAGGUUCAAACAUCAUUUUUUUUUCUUCAAAUGACUGAUCAUACAAGAUCGCUCUUCUGCUGUGCAGUUUCCACAUAUUGUUCUGCAAGUUUCUUCACCUUCUCACCCUCUUUAAUCAGGAAAUUUGCAUUCUUGGCAUUUGAAUGAUAUUUCAUAACCUUGUCAGUAGUUUUUGCCACAGCCCACCUGUACUGUUCUGCUGUAAUCACACCACUUUUGCACAGUGGCCUGAGAUGUUCUUUGAUGUAAGCUUCCACCUGUAGGGUCCAAAAGCUAGAUUAGUAGAAAUUAACUGGUGGAUAUUCAGCAAAAAUAAAAAAGACAAACAAAUUAACUAACUAAAAAGAAAGACCUGGUGGACAGAACAUUACUCAGAAAAAUGACAGGACUGCUUCUCACAAAUGAAAUUUCCAGAAUUGUUAUUAUAUUGAUAAGUCAUAGAACAAAUGUAGAGGUAAAGAACGAUAAGAAAAAAAGAACUAACAGCAGAUGUGUCUGCUAGUACCUUUUUGGAUAUAGAGUUAAUUACAACAGAUUGCUUGUUAGUAUCAACACUUAGCUUCUUUUCCUUCCUGCGGGUAUUUUCACUGGUUUGAAUCUCAUCUGACAAAUUUUCCUCACCUACAGUGUUAUGACAAUUGGUGGCAACAGUUACAUUGGCCGCAGCACUCUCACUUCCAAGUUUCGAUACCUUUACUAGUUGGUUUGGUAUAUCAUUGUCAUUGUUUUCAGGAACUCGUUUCCCAGCAUGUACUGCUGCAUUGACCAAACAAUAUAGCUGUGAAGAUUCUCCUUCUGGAAAUUUAUUUACAAGUGGUUCCUUAUCAGGGCCAUAUAGUUCUUCACAUUCUGCCAGAGAAAGCUCCUCACCUUCUUCAACAGCUUUAGAUUGGAAAGACACACAGGACUUAUCUGUCCCACCAUCGACAGUUGAGCUUCUGAUCUCAGUAUCAGCAUGACCCGGCUGCAAGCAAGGAGAAUCACUAGGUACCUCAACACUUCCCAAUGUCCCGAUAAUUUCUGAGGAUCUUUCAGAGUUAAGAGUGGAGAAAACUACUUUCAUUUUUGAGCCACUUUCUUCUGGCAGCUUAUUCAAUUUUGCAGUGGAACCAAUGUAGUCUUCAUCUUCCAAAUCAUAUUCAAAAUCACCAUAAAUAUCGAC
This 1235-nucleotide long non-coding RNA is filed under the name Carica papaya (papaya). RNAcentral's name for it is "long non-coding RNA (CPAP_LNC007413)". Lineage: Eukaryota; Viridiplantae; Streptophyta; Magnoliopsida; Brassicales; Caricaceae. The record is from RNAcentral.